Molecule: unclassified non-coding RNA, 1152 nt
Filed under: Hevea brasiliensis (rubber tree)
Lineage: Eukaryota; Viridiplantae; Streptophyta; Magnoliopsida; Malpighiales; Euphorbiaceae
Source: RNAcentral
GCCAGAAAAUAGCCAACAGAGAUCUGUACAAAGAGCCAAAAUGAAGAAAUAUAGAGACAACAGAAGAAAAUGACCUACCAUCAGAAGCUGAGAAAAAAAUAUCAAAGCAUAAGAUACAUUAUAUGAACCAAUAGAAAUAUAGAAACAAGUAUGUAGAAACAAGAAGAGAUUAUUUUUGUAUCCAAAAUCUAUUCUAGAUAAAACUAAAAUUUCCACUAGUUCCAAUUGAACAUCAUGUUAACCAAUUAUAUUUUUCUUCAUCCCUGUAAAAAUUUCAGAGGGUAUUUGUAACCAUACAAGAUAUAGCAAGAAGAGUUGUCCUCUUAAACCAAUCUAUAUUGAAUAGUUAUGCAUGUUGCAUUUGACAUACCACCAAACUAACAAGGAUCAAAUUAAACAGUUCUUUAAAUGCAGCAGUACAACUAACUUUUAACUGUAAGUAGACAUUUGAACCAGCCAAAAGCAGACUGCCUCAAUUGAGGAAUCAAAGAAGGAACUUCAAAGUUAACUGAGGAGGCACUUGAUAUACAUAUAUAAACUUGUCCCCACCACUGGAUGGGUCAUCAUGGCCAGUACUUUCACCUACAUUAAUUUAAGCCUGCUGCAAACUCUAUGCAUGCUUAGUUUGGAUUGAGGGAGUUAUAACUAACUUAAAAGACAAUGCAGAUAAAAACCACGUACUCACAUCAAUAAUUCCACAAAGAACAACCUUUUUUUUGUAGGAAAAAAUAAUGUGGUUGAUGUUCAUUUAUUUAUUCUUGUUGGCAUGUAUAUAUUUUUAUGUAUGAAUGCAUGUGUGCACACAUACCAGGCCCCUAAUGACAAAAAUUUCUAGAUUCGCCACUAACUUUACAUGCAUAAAUACAUGCACAAACACAAAUGCAGACAUGCAAUAAAGUGAACAAUGUCAUCAGAAUGAACAUUUAUCCACUUAAUUUGGGUGGCAAAUUACAAUUUAGGCAUACAUUAAUGGUAUUUAUAUUUAUAGUGAACAAAUAACAUCAGAUCUUGAAUUUCAAAAACAACCUUAUACUUAAUUCAGCAAAAUGCAAACAUAUCAAAUUAAGGAGCCAAAGAUCUUGAAAAUGACAAAGAAAUUCUAUGUUGCCUUCUUCUACGGCAGCUUACCCCUAAUACAGAGUUUGAUACAAU